AUGAACGCUAGCGACAGGCCUAACACAUGCAAGUCGAGGGCAGCACAAGGAGCAAUCUGAGGUGGCGACCGGCGCACGGGUGAGUAACACGUAUGCAACCUGCCUGUAAGCGGGGAAUAACCCGUUGAAAGACGGACUAAUACCGCAUAAUACUAAAUUACUGCAUGGUAAUUUAUUUAAACAUUUAUGGCUUACAGAUGGGCAUGCGCAUGAUUAGCUAGUUGGAGAGGUAACGGCUCCCCAAGGCAACGAUCAUUAGGGGUUCUGAGAGGAAGGUCCCCCACACUGGUACUGAGACACGGACCAGACUCCUACGGGAGGCAGCAGUGAGGAAUAUUGGUCAAUGGACGAGAGUCUGAACCAGCCAAGUCGCGUGCAGGAAGAAUGUCCUUAAUGGAUUGUAAACUGCUUUUGCGAGGGGAAUAAAGUGCAUCACGUGUGAUGUUUUGUAUGUACUCUGCGAAUAAGGAUCGGCUAACUCCGUGCCAGCCGCUGC
RNAcentral lists this ribosomal RNA (496 nucleotides) under uncultured bacterium. RNAcentral's name for it is "bacterial SSU rRNA". It matches the Rfam family "Bacterial small subunit ribosomal RNA", at positions 29 to 518 of the family's 1533-position model. The record is from RNAcentral.